UUUUUAAAGAAUGAACAGCUAAUUGGAUUGCAUUAGUGAAAAUAAAGUUAACAUAAUUGAUUCACAUUGAGUUUGGACUAAAAUAAUUCCACAAGAAUUAAAAAAUAAUAAUGAAAAUAAGGGUAGAUGUCACUGUAAUAUUAUCAGUAAUGGCAAUCAACCAAAGAAGAAGCCGAGAAGACAAGAACUUGUUCCUUGGACCCAAAGUGAAAAUUCAAUUCUUGGAGAUCAUCUUCUCGUGCAGGAAGAUUAAGGUCUAACUGCAAACUAUUCCGUGGUUUCUUGGAUUCUUGGGACUCAGGACUACUUGUAACCAAGCUCCUCGUCGUUGUUGUCGUUGAAGAAGGAGCAAACGCCGCCCUAUGACGCCGCAUAUGACCGCCUAAGGCCUGACCGGAGGAGAACUCAGCCCCGCAUAUAGAACACUCAUGAACCUUGUUAGAUUUGAUAUUUAUUGGCAUCUGCAAUGAAAGGGCUGUGCUCAUAUUGUUAUGAAGUUGACGAUCUUCCUCUUCUUCUAUCACUUUGUUGUCUUCAUUGUAAGCCUUGUUACCGGGCUUCUUAUGACUCGCUCUGUGUCCACCAAGAGCUUGAAACGAAGGAAAGCACCGGUUACAAGUCUUGCACUGGUAAGCGUAUGAAGAUCCUGAUGAUGCCUUGUUAGCAGCAGCAGUAGCAGUACUCGUAGCCCUAGCCGCUGCCGCCGCCGCAGGCUCAGAUAAUUUUCGACUCUGGUGGUGGAGGCUACCUUGAGCUAAAAGGAUCAAGCAAUUAGCCAUAUCUUCUUCUUCCCCACCAAUACUUUCUGCAAAUUCAAUAGAGGUGCUAGGAGACGUGGAAGAAGAGAUGUUAUUGUCAAUUCUUUCAGCACCGCUAUCUCCGCCACUGGAAGAGCUAGAAGUGAAGGCUAACAUGAGAGGGGACGUCUGCCGAUGACGCUUGGUGCGCUUGCUUUUGAUAGAAUCCACUAUUUCUUGUUGAGCAUCCAUGAAGAGAAUGAUAUAAGGUGGUAGGUUUUGGGAGAUAGAAAGAUUGGUGUUUUGAAGUGUAGAAUAUGAAGGUGAAUAUAUUUUCUUGCUGGCGAGUCUUGGUUUUCCAAUCUUGGAAGUUUACUAAAGAGUUUGUAUACAUAAAUAGGCAGAAGAUGCAGAAGGAUAGAGAGAGAAAGAGAGAUGAGAAAGAAGCAAUGGCAAGUAUGAGGAGAGGAGGAAACAAGUGAGAUUCGGUUGGCUUUGAAGCAAACCCAUUACUUUUUCUAAACAAUUCCUUUCUGGAGGAUUGGUU
Molecule: unclassified non-coding RNA, 1284 nt
Filed under: Hevea brasiliensis (rubber tree)
Lineage: Eukaryota; Viridiplantae; Streptophyta; Magnoliopsida; Malpighiales; Euphorbiaceae
Source: RNAcentral